Molecule: ribosomal RNA, 376 nt
Filed under: uncultured organism
Description: partial 16S ribosomal RNA
Rfam family: Bacterial small subunit ribosomal RNA
Source: RNAcentral
GUAGGGGGCGAGCGUUAUCCGGAUUUAUUGGGCGUAAAGCGCACGUAGGCGGCGCUGUAAGUUGGGCGUGAAAGCUCCCGGCUCAACUGGGAGAGGUCGUUCAAUACUGCAGCGCUUGAGGUUGGAAGAGGAGAGUGGAAUUCCCGGUGUAGUGGUGGAAUGCGUAGAUAUCGGGAGGAAUACCAGUGGCGAAAGCGACUCUCUGGUCCACACCUGACGCUGAGGUGCGAAAGCGUGGGGAGCGAACGGGGGAUUAGAUACCCCGGUAGUCCACGCCGUAAACGAUGGAUACUAGGUGUAGGGGGUCAUUUAACCCCCUCUGUGCCCGAAGCAAACGCGUUAAGUAUCCCGCCUGGGGACUACGGCCGCAAGGCUA